CGCACUCGCGCAGCCCAUCUCUCUUCCUCCCGUCACCCCCCUCCUGCCUACUCUCUCGAUCCCCACUGUUGCCGCCUCGGUCGCCGGCCGAUUCCGGCCGCUCCGGCGAGCUUUGGCGCCACCCAACACAAACACAGCUGCUCCUGGAUGAGCUCUACUAGCUUCACCGCAUCGAUCUACUUGUCCUCACCUCAUGCGGUCGCCCCCAUCGAUUUCCCUCGCUAGGGUUUCGAUGGUGGGGGUGGACCUCGCCUCCGGCGGCCGGCUGCUCCUCCUCCUCGAUUCGACUCCGUCCGCCGGGGUCGUGAACCCAUGCGGCCGCAACGGGGUGGGCAUGUGCGUCCGCGGGUUCGCACCGCUGUGGCCGGAGGCGUCGGCGCCGCGGGUUAACCGCGUCGGGGUGGAUGGGCGCCUCAUGCCGCGGUCGUCGGAUCCGUCGACUGCGAGUCCGGCUCCGGCACCUGGCGGCCUGGCGAGGCAGGCGGGGGAGCGGGGAGGGGAGGGGUGAGGGUGGCGAGGCCCUCACGCACCGCGAUGGGCCUCGACUUCGACGGCGUCUUCUACGACAGCUACGGCCAGAGCUCCCUCUCCGCCAUCAAGGCCGCCAAGGUGAGGUGGUCGUGGGUGUUUGAGCAGGUCGCCGCCGCCAUGGAGGAGUGGAUGGUGGAGCAGAUGCACCCGGUGUUUGUGGCGAAGCCGACACCAGAGGCCACCCAGAGGCAAAGCCACAGCCGCACCUGAGCUCCCUCAGCUCCGGCCACUAUAGUUGGUGGACAAGGGUUGCUCCUACCUUUGAUGUUUUGGGCGGAUCUGUGCUUCGGUUCUCUAGGUGUACCUUUCUCUAUUUCCUGUUCAUCUAUUGUUCCAUAUGAUCUGCACAUGUCCCAUGGACGUCGCUCUGUCUUGUUCAUAGCAUAGUUGCUUUUGUUUUAUUCCUGUCGUGGAGAUGGGCAGACCUUGACGUUUCCUUGUUGUAUCUACAAAGGAAUUUUUGUUGCCUUCCUUAGCUUGUUGGCUACCUAUUUUUUUUCCCUGUCAAGAAGACAGAUUUGGCCCAAGAUUGUGUCCUUGCUCUCUGGAAAUGAAGUUUUGUUCUCACCCAGGGUUGGUCCUACCUAUAUUCUGUCUGUAUGUAGUUCCAGCAAUUCUAUACUUUUUCCUGCUAAUUUCUAAUUCAAAGCAUGUACAGUCAUGCUCAAACCUACACCUGCUGCUCACUUUAUGGGCAUGGAUCAACCCCUCUUCUCCUCCUUUCCCCUCUUCUUUACAGACCUAGGUGUAGGAUUGUAUGGCAAUAUGCAUUUUUGGCCUCGCUCUGUUCUGCUUGUCGGUCAUGUCUUUUCUGGUAAAAGCCAAAAGUAUUUUUGCCUUUGUGCAUUGGAUGUUUGUAGUUUCCUUUCUUCGGUGCUUGUUUUAGUGGAGUCUAGAUAUAUGUCUUUUGUUCCUUGUCUUCAUACUGGUAGGGCCUAUGAUUGUUGGUCCUUUCACCUUUGUGCAUGGAAUGUUGGUGGUUUUGUUCAUUUGCUUAUUUUAUUUAUUGUUUCUUUUUACUGUGCUCCUAUGGUUUCAACAAUAACUGAGGCAAGGGUGCCAUGAUCUGAGUUUCCAAAUCUUGAGUAGCAAUUAUGGUUUAAUCAAUAUUUGCAUUAGUGAGGAGCCGGGGUGGCCACACAAGCAGAAUGGCCACACAAGGUGUUUUUCUCAAUCAGAUCACAUGCAUCUCUUAAAAAUUAUACAAUAGCAAGUAUGAUUUAUAGGUUAUUAGAUAUUAUCGGUCUAUGCUUCAUGUGGUGGUGGUGUUCUUACAUCUAGAUCUAUGGACAAGGUCAGUUGCUCCUAUCUGGACAAGCAGCAGCUGCUGCUACUGCUUUGUCAGGGCAAGGGUCAAUAAAACUCAGGUUAUUCCUCGAUCCAUAAUUCUGUCAUCUAUAGUCAGGCUAUCACUUUAGUCUUUUUUGCCUUUCUCUGACAGGUCAAUUGAUGUUGGGCACCAAUCUUGCUCCUAUUUGGGUGGGCUACAGCUUUGUCAGGCUGCCAUCAUAUUCUGAUCUUCCAGUGUUCCUUCUGCGGUGUGGAGGAGGUGUGAAAGUAGAUCGUGGUGACGAUUGUGCCAUUACAUGUUAUUAUUGUUCAUAUCUUAUCAUUAGAAAUAGACAUGUUAUAAGGAAGAUGUUACCGAUAUGUUUCUUUCAUGGUCAAUGAUUGUCUUGCUUUUCUGUGUCACAUUACUUAUACCUGUUGUUUUCUAAAAUUAUUGCAUGGUAGCUAGCUAAUCUCUAUGAUAAUAGCAUCUGAGAUUCCAAAGGGUAUUUAAUUUUAUUUCAGACCAUGAUAGCAUUCCUUACCCGUUGUCACCUUCCUUCUCUAUCGUUUGCAUGAUAGCUAGCUUCAAAAUGAUUGGCACAUUUAUUAACCAUUUCAUCUUUUUUGUGCAUUGCAGAUUUGCUACUAAAUUCAAAAAAAAUAGUGUUCUUUUGCAUCACCAUCCUAUGGAGCCAUGAGAUCUGAACCAAUGAAUACAGAGAACAUUAACUAUGUUUAUGGAUCACUACAUGUUCUAUUGGAACAAGGGCCAAUGCUUCCGGUGCCGAGAACGUGGCCAAGGGGAUCAUGUGGUGCGGGGUGAUGACCGUGGACAGGCUCCGCUGGCGGAACGAGGUGCUCCGAAAGAGGAUUCAAACCAGCGAUAAUGAGGCCGAGGUCUGCCCAGAGAUGCUCAGGUGUAUCAAAAGGUUUCCUUGUGCUUAAUUACACGCCGCAGCGGCGACCAAGAAGCGCGUGGCCCAGCUGACCAACAAGGCCAGGAACGUGGCCGCCGGCGACAAGGAGCCCGGGUUUAAGUAUCUUUGCUGGGUGUCGAUGGUGGUGUUUAUGCCAAAUAAAGUCGGUUGCUGCAAGUCUUGCAAGAAAUUUGGGUGACAAGGCGUCUGGAUGGAACUAUCUAUCCGUCUAUCUAUCUAUCUAAUAUAGUUUACUACUAUACCAUGUAAAAUUAGUGUCUCCACUACCACUAUGGCUUGGUGUGGUCAUGCUAUGAUGUUAGCGGAUACGAAUGUUUAGUGAUGUGUUGAUUCAGGAAAUUCGCAUUUGGUUCAGCAUGUAGUUGGGCUGUAUGCUCUUAGGAGAUAAUGUUCUGUGAAUUCUUUUCCAACUGUUAUUGCCACAAAAUUGAAAUUUGGUAUUGACAUUAUGAAGAUUACCUUAAGUGUGAAA
Long non-coding RNA from Triticum dicoccoides, 3213 nucleotides. RefSeq lists it as uncharacterized. The transcript has 6 exons. The record is from RefSeq and is a predicted model, not a curated record. Lineage: Eukaryota; Viridiplantae; Streptophyta; Magnoliopsida; Poales; Poaceae.